GAUAUCCACCUUCUGGCUAUUCAAGGUGAUCUGUUUACUCUGAUAGUGUGAUGAAUGGUGGUAUGUCAAAACAGAAGAGCAUUAUACAGUUGUUGGUGUUAAUUUGGAGUAGAUAAACUUCAAAACUUGUGAGUUGUUUAUUGAGUGGGAAAAUAGCGGAGCUGAUGCUUUUGUUUAUUUUAUCGAGGGUACUUAUACUAGUA
This 203-nucleotide unclassified non-coding RNA is filed under the name Hevea brasiliensis (rubber tree). The record is from RNAcentral. Lineage: Eukaryota; Viridiplantae; Streptophyta; Magnoliopsida; Malpighiales; Euphorbiaceae.